AGAACGAACGCUGGCGGCAUGCCUAACACACGCAAGUCGAACGAUCUCUUCGGAGAUAGUGGCGCACGGGUGCGUAACGCGUGGGAAUCUGCCCUUGGGUUCGGAAUAACAGUUGGAAACGACUGCUAAUACCGGAUGAUGACGUUAAGUCCAAAGAUUUAUCGCCCAGGGAUGAGCCCGCGUAGGAUUAGCUAGUUGGUGAGGUAAAGGCUCACCAAGGCGACGAUCCUUAGCUGGUCUGAGAGGAUGAUCAGCCACACUGGGACUGAGACACGGCCCAGACUCCUACGGGAGGCAGCAGUGGGGAAUAUUGGACAAUGGGCGAAAGCCUGAUCCAGCAAUGCCGCAUGAGUGAUGAAGGCCUUAGGGUGUAAAGCUCUUUUACCCGGAUGAUAAUGACAGUACCGGAGAAUAAGCUCCGGCUAACUCCGUGCCAGCAGCCGC
This 444-nucleotide ribosomal RNA is filed under the name uncultured soil bacterium. Its description in RNAcentral is "bacterial SSU rRNA". It matches the Rfam family "Bacterial small subunit ribosomal RNA", at positions 26 to 518 of the family's 1533-position model. The record is from RNAcentral.